Non-coding RNA from Peromyscus maniculatus bairdii (prairie deer mouse), 426 nucleotides. Lineage: Eukaryota; Metazoa; Chordata; Mammalia; Rodentia; Cricetidae. The record is from RefSeq and is a predicted model, not a curated record.
CAGGGUGUAGAACUCAACUCCUUCUCCAGUACCAUGUCUGCCUGCAUGCUGCCAUGACCUACCAUGAUGAUGAAGGAAGGACUGAACCUAUGAAGUAGUCCAAAUGAUUCAGGAGAACAAGAGAGUGGAAUGGAGCUAAGGCCUGUGUUCAAAGAGAUAAACAGAUUAGUAAAUGGAAUCAAGGAAGUGGUGACCUCAGGGUCAUCUUGCACUGUUUCUACUGUGACAUUCACUGAGGAAACAGAAGGUUAGAUCUUUUGUCUUCCUGAUCCAUAUUGAAUAAGACGAACCAAAAAUAUCAUGUCUUAAUCUCAUAAAACUUUAAAAAUUGUUAACUUAUUCGGAAAAAAUUGUGGAUGAAACUAAGAAUCUUGAUUUGAGAUUAAGUUUGUGAAAUGCACAGAAUAGGAAACAACUUGAAGAUAC